Molecule: ribosomal RNA, 254 nt
Filed under: uncultured bacterium
Lineage: Bacteria
Description: partial 16S ribosomal RNA
Rfam family: Bacterial small subunit ribosomal RNA
Source: RNAcentral
UACGUAGGGGGCAAGCGUUGUUCGGAUUUACUGGGCGUAAAGGGCGCGUAGGCGGCGCGUAAAGUCGGACAUGAAAUCAUUGGGCUUAACCCAAUGUCUGUACCCGAUACUUGCGUGCUUAGAGUGCGGGAGAGGCAAUCGGAAUUCUCGGUGUAGCGGUGAAAUGCGUAGAUAUCGAGAGGAACUCCAGUGACGAAGGUGGGUUGCUGGACCGACACUGACGCUGAGGCGCGAAAGCUAGGGGAGCAAACGGG